AAAUCAAAAACUUUGAGGUAUGCCCUUAUUUUGACUGCCCAAUAUUAAUAGUUCUCCCUAGCGAAUGGUGGAGGAGCUGGUGUGUUGAAACCAGCUAAUGCCAUGAAAAAAUGGUAAAAGGGUACACAGUAAUCUAGCAAGAAAGUUCACAAAAAAUAAUGAGUUAGUCCCUUAAGAUCUUUAGGAUUGCUUUGAUACCAUUUUGAAGAUUUGAUAAAUCUGAAAAUAUGAAGAACAGGGAUGAAAGAGAGCCAGAGGGCAUAAUCGAAUGAGAGGAAAGAAAAAAAUAUUGGGUCAGCACAAACGGUGUGCAUAGCCACUUUCAUAUACUCAAUAAUCAACUUUAUAUACAUGAUGGAGGAAAGAGAAAAAAAAAAAAAAAGAGCCAGCUGGUUAAGCAACCACCUGGCAUUCCAACCUUCUAGGUGCUGUGGGAAUGGUGAGAUAUUUCCUCCCACCAGUCAUUUCUCAACUAGUCAAUCGAUGUAGUUUUGGAAGAAACACAAUGAAUUGAGACGUGAAUUCUAGCAUGUGGGGCAAGUAAAUAAUCACAGCAGAUGGACAAAGUGAAAGAGAAGUCAAACAAGCUAAAGACACCAAAUGACACAGAUAAAGAAAUAAAACCGCAGCUAAAGUCUUCUUCUAUUUGAACUUAUCGAGAUUCAUCAC
This 669-nucleotide long non-coding RNA is filed under the name Theobroma cacao (cacao). Its description in RNAcentral is "long non-coding RNA (TCAC_LNC004273)". Lineage: Eukaryota; Viridiplantae; Streptophyta; Magnoliopsida; Malvales; Malvaceae. The record is from RNAcentral.